GACGGACGUAGCCGAACCCCGGCGACGUACGCGAGCACAGGACACACAAGAUGCUGGCAAAGGCAAAGGAUCAUGCCGGGAGCAGCUGCACAAGUUUCAUAUAACUAAACUGGAGCCACUUUCCACAUCGCUCUGCUGCCUACAAUUCCUCUGUGCCUUCCAGGCCCUAAGAAAUUGCUACUUCUUCACCUCUGAGACUGUCAAUCACAAGGCCCUACCUACCCUCUAUACCACAGAGGUGAGCAAUAGACUUAAUCAAGGCAAUUAAUUGGAAUGGCCCAAUCCUGUGCCCCAUUAACAGGUUCAUGGGUGGGCAAGGACCUGGCAGGGUUGGUCCCAGCCUUCCUGGGGGAGGGAUCAUGGUUAUACUGGAUAUAUUGCGGAGCAUGUGCUCAUUUGUUUAUUCUGAGGACGAUGUAAAUCUCAAGUUAUUGGUGGCCAUCUAUGAAAUUAAAAAACAAUUCAUCCAUUAAAGUUCCAUUCCAAUGAAGCCUCCUCCAUGAAACACGGUCCUUCCCUGCCUGCCUCUCACAUCAGCCAGAAGCUCUGCUUCCUGUCAGCCUGUGGUGCUCCCUUCACUGAGGUUAUUGGAGAUUUCUUCAGUUAGAGUUUAACCUCCUGGAGGGUGGGGGCUGUCUUAU
Long non-coding RNA from Talpa occidentalis (Iberian mole), 641 nucleotides. RefSeq lists it as uncharacterized. The record is from RefSeq and is a predicted model, not a curated record. NCBI's taxonomy places the organism in Eukaryota, Metazoa, Chordata, Mammalia, Eulipotyphla, Talpidae. The transcript has 3 exons.